UGGCGGACGGGUGAGUAACGCGUGAGAAUCUACCUUCAGGACGGAGACAACAGUUGGAAACGACUGCUAAGCCCCGAUGUACUGAAAAGGCAAAUAUUUAUAGCCUGAAGAUGAGCUCGCGUCCGAUUAGCUAGUUGGCGGAGUAAAAGCCCACCAAGGCGACGAUCGGUAGCUGGUCUGAGAGGACGAUCAGCCACACUGGGACUGAGACACGGCCCAG
This 220-nucleotide ribosomal RNA is filed under the name uncultured bacterium. Its description in RNAcentral is "partial 16S ribosomal RNA". It matches the Rfam family "Bacterial small subunit ribosomal RNA", at positions 96 to 334 of the family's 1533-position model. The record is from RNAcentral.